RNAcentral lists this ribosomal RNA (253 nucleotides) under uncultured bacterium. RNAcentral's name for it is "partial 16S ribosomal RNA". It matches the Rfam family "Bacterial small subunit ribosomal RNA", at positions 524 to 776 of the family's 1533-position model. The record is from RNAcentral.
UACGUAGGUGGCGAGCGUUGUCCGGAUUUACUGGGCGUAAAGAGCGCGCAGGCGGUCGUGCAAGUCGCGUGUGAAAGCCCCCGGCUCAACUGGGGAGGGUCACGCGAUACUGCUCGACUCGAAGGCAGGAGAGGGUAGUGGAAUUCCCGGUGUAGUGGUGAAAUGCGUAGAUAUCGGGAGGAACACCAGUGGCGAAGGCGACUACCUGGCCUGUUCUUGACGCUGAGGCGCGAAAGCUAGGGGAGCAAACGGG